GAUGAACGCUAGCUGCAGGCUUAACACAUGCAAGUCGAGGGGAAACGACAUCGAAAGCUUGCUUUUGAUGGGCGUCGACCGGCGCACGGGUGAGUAACGCGUAUCCAACCUGCCCACCACUUGGGGAUAACCUUGCGAAAGUAAGACUAAUACCCAAUGACGUCUCUAGAAGACAUCUGAAAGAGAUUAAAGAUUUAUCGGUGAUGGAUGGGGAUGCGUCUGAUUAGCUUGUUGGCGGGGUAACGGCCCACCAAGGCGACGAUCAGUAGGGGUUCUGAGAGGAAGGUCCCCCACAUUGGAACUGAGACACGGUCCAAACUCCUACGGGAGGCAGCAGUGAGGAAUAUUGGUCAAUGGACGAGAGUCUGAACCAGCCAAGUAGCGUGCAGGAUGACGGCCCUAUGGGUUGUAAACUGCUUUUAUAAGGGAAUAAAGUGAGUCUCGUGAGACUUUUUGCAUGUACCUUAUGAAUAAGAACCGGCUAAUUCCGUG
RNAcentral lists this ribosomal RNA (492 nucleotides) under uncultured bacterium. RNAcentral's name for it is "partial 16S ribosomal RNA". It matches the Rfam family "Bacterial small subunit ribosomal RNA", at positions 28 to 507 of the family's 1533-position model. The record is from RNAcentral.